RNAcentral lists this ribosomal RNA (460 nucleotides) under uncultured bacterium. Its description in RNAcentral is "partial 16S ribosomal RNA". It matches the Rfam family "Bacterial small subunit ribosomal RNA", at positions 338 to 795 of the family's 1533-position model. The record is from RNAcentral.
CCUACGGGUGGCAGCAGUGAGGAAUAUUGGUCAAUGGGCGCGAGCCUGAACCAGCCAAGUAGCGUGAAGGAUGACUGCCCUCCGGGUUGUAAACUUCUUUUAUCAAGGAAUAACGUGAGUCACGUGUGCCUUUUUGUGUGUCCUUUAUGCAUAAGGCACGGCUAACUCCGUGCCAGCAGCCGCGGUAAUACUGAGGAUCCGAGCGUUAUCCGGAUUUAUUGGGUUGAAAGGGAGCGUAGAUGGGUUGUUAAGGCAGUUGGGAAAGUUUGCGGCUCAACCGUAAAAUUGCAAUUGAUACUGGCAGUCUUGAGUACAGGUGAGGCAGGCGGAAUUCGUGGUGUAGCGGUGAAAUGCUUAGAUAUCACGAAGAACUCCGAUUGCGAAGGCAGCUUACUAAACUGCCACUGACACUGAUGCGCGAAAGCGUGGGGAUCAAACAGGAUUAGAUACCCCUGUAGUC